GGACUACUGGGGUUUCUAAUCCUGUUUGCUCCCCACGCUUUCGCGCAUCAGCGUCAGUAUCGGUCCAGAGAGCCGCCUUCGCCACCGGUGUUCUUCCCAAUAUCUACGAAUUUCACCUCUACACUGGGAAUUCCACUCUCCUCUCCCGAACUCAAGCAUGGCAGUAUCAAACGCUAUUCCCAGGUUGAGCCCGGGGCUUUCACGCCUAACUUCCCACGCCGCCUACGCGCCCUUUACGCCCAGUAAUUCCGAACAACGCUAGCCCCCUUCGUAUUACCGCGGCUGCUGGCAC
This 292-nucleotide ribosomal RNA is filed under the name uncultured bacterium. RNAcentral describes it as "partial 16S ribosomal RNA". The record is from RNAcentral.